AUUCUUGUUGUUCUCAUCAAGUUCAAAAGAAUCACGUCCCGAUCUUAAAUAUCGAAGUAUCUAUUCGAUGAUUGUGGUACUCUAUCAAAUCUCCUUAAUAAUGCCUCUACAAUAGAUUCUAGGUUUGAUCUAAUCAAAUCUGAUUCUAUGGAUUCACCAGAUUGUGUCGGUUCUUCUACCUGUCAAACUUCAUAAGUUCUAUAUUAAAAGUAUCAGUACCUUCACUAAAGUACUUCUUUUCUAAAAGAAAUACCGAACAACUUUUGUUCUUUAGUAUGGUAGAAGUUAUAUUACUUAGAUUCUUUGAGGUUAUCCUACAAAAUAAUACAUAUAGGAUCGGGAUCCAAGCUAAUCGAUCUGUAAAUAUUCGACAUAAACUGAACACUCUCAAACCCUAAGGUAA
This 403-nucleotide long non-coding RNA is filed under the name Elaeis guineensis (African oil palm). Its description in RNAcentral is "long non-coding RNA (EGUI_LNC013871)". Lineage: Eukaryota; Viridiplantae; Streptophyta; Magnoliopsida; Arecales; Arecaceae. The record is from RNAcentral.